GACGAACGCUGGCGGCGUGCUUAACACAUGCAAGUCGAACGGAAAGGCCCUGCGUUUGUGGGGUGCUCGAGUGGCGAACGGGUGAGUAACACGUGAGUAACCUGCCCUUGACUUUGGGAUAACUUCAGGAAACUGGGGCUAAUACCGGAUAGGAGCUCCUGCUGCAUGGUGGGGGUUGGAAAGUGUCGGCGGUUGGGGAUGGACUCGCGGCUUAUCAGCUUGUUGGUGGGGUUGUGGCUUACCAAGGCUUUGACGGGUAGCCGGCCUGAGAGGGUGACCGGCGACAUUGGGACUGAGAUACGGCCCAGACUCCUACGGGAGGCAGCAGUGGAGAAUAUUGCACAAUGGGCGGAAGCCUGAUGCAGCAACGCCGCGUGCGGGAUGACGGCCUUCGGGUUGUAAACCGCUUUCGCCUGUGACGAAGCGUGAGUGACGGUAAUGGGUAAGGAAGCACCGGCUAACUACGUG
Molecule: ribosomal RNA, 468 nt
Filed under: uncultured bacterium
Lineage: Bacteria
Description: partial 16S ribosomal RNA
Rfam family: Bacterial small subunit ribosomal RNA
Source: RNAcentral